AUGGAUUCCUGGCUGCGGGCCGGGCAGUUAGGAGCCGUUCCCUCCCCAGCAAGCCCAAGGUCAAGCUCCUUAAAAACGCAGCAGAGGCCUGAGGCUGGACGAACCGUGAGGGAGGGUCCCAGACCCAGGGUCCGUCCUCGCCUUUAUUUCUGUAAAAACAGCACGGGAGCAAUUCUGGGGGAAUCGUGUCCCCACUGCAAGUAUUGCAUUGGAUAUGAAAUAGUCAAAACCCAAGGUGACAAGUGGGCCAGCCUGGGGAAGGGGACAUGUCGGUCCUUGAAGGCACAGCAGCAUUGGCCAGAGGAGGCAGCCCCAGCCCCAUGGCCAGCUCAUCUCCAGCACCCCAUGGCCCGGAUGAGGGCCUCUGAGGCGGAGACGGAGUGGGACAGCCCCUCAGCCCCUGCCUCCAGCGACCUCUUCCGGGUUGUGCCCCUGUUCUGAGGGUGAGGGGAAGACUUGGCCACCUGGGGGCCAGACAGCACAGGACACAGGCCACUCCUGUGCCUCCAGCACAAGGUCGAGGCUGUUCAUAGGCCUCUCCUGAGGUCGGGGAGACCGAGGGUCCAAGGCCAAGACCUGCAGGGGGUCUAACGGGGAUGGAGAGCACAGCCCUAUCCCUCCUCCUUGUGGGAUGGGGGGGGGGCCUUGCCAGGGCAACCUGGGAAGCCUCUGAGCCAGGGACUCCUCCCGGCUGGCUCGUCAUAGGUGGGGGGCAAGGCCGGGGCUGGCAAGCCCACCCCCCCCACCAUGUACCCACAACCUUCACGUGGGAGUCAGAGGUGGCUGACGUGGUGGUGGGGACAGGCAACUUUGGCACAGUACUGAGGGUGGGCAAAGGAAUGGUGGUCAAGGUGGCUGUGACGCCGGAGGUGACCACUCAGAAGUUGUGCUCGGCUGUGGCGCAGGCGCGUUCCCUUGGGG
Molecule: long non-coding RNA, 921 nt
Filed under: Oryctolagus cuniculus (rabbit)
Lineage: Eukaryota; Metazoa; Chordata; Mammalia; Lagomorpha; Leporidae
Description: lncRNA (ENSOCUG00000032007.1)
Source: RNAcentral